RNAcentral lists this ribosomal RNA (520 nucleotides) under Hepatozoon canis. RNAcentral describes it as "SSU rRNA". It matches the Rfam family "Eukaryotic small subunit ribosomal RNA", at positions 521 to 1039 of the family's 1831-position model. Lineage: Eukaryota; Apicomplexa; Hepatozoidae. The record is from RNAcentral.
AAAUUUAAACCCUUUUUAAAGUAUCAAUUGGAGGGCAAGUCUGGUGCCAGCAGCCGCGGUAAUUCCAGCUCCAAUAGCGUAUAUUAAAAUUGUUGCAGUUAAAAAGCUCGUAGUUGAAGUUCUGCUAAAAGUAACCGGUCUGCUUUUAAUAAAGGUGGUAUCUUGGUGUGUAUUUAGCAAUGAUGUCCUUUGAAGUGUUUUUUACUUUAUUGUAAUAAAGCAUAUUCAGGACUUUUACUUUGAGAAAAUUAGAGUGUUUCUAGCAGGCUAACGCUUUGAAUACUGCAGCAUGGAAUAAUAAGAUAGGAUUUUAGUUCUACAUUAUUGGUUUUAAGAGCUAAAUUAAUGAUUGAUAGGGACAGUUGGGGGCAUUUGUAUUUAACUGUCAGAGGUGAAAUUCUUAGAUUUGUUAAAGACAAACUACUGCGAAAGCAUUUGCCAAAGAUGUUUUCAUUAAUCAAGAACGAAAGUUAGGGGAUCGAAGACGAUCAGAUACCGUCGUAGUCUUAACUAUAAACUA